UACGUAGGUGGCAAGCGUUGUCCGGAUUUACUGGGCGUAAAGAGCGCGCAGGCGGUCGUUCAAGUCGCGUGUGAAAGCCCCCGGCUCAACUGGGGAGGGUCACGCGAUACUGAUCGACUCGAAGGCAGGAGAGGGUAGUGGAAUUCCCGGUGUAGUGGUGAAAUGCGUAGAUAUCGGGAGGAACACCGGCGGCGAAGGCGGCUUCCUGGACCGAUACUGACGCUGAGACGCGAAAGCGUGGGGAGCAAACAGG
RNAcentral lists this ribosomal RNA (253 nucleotides) under uncultured bacterium. RNAcentral describes it as "partial 16S ribosomal RNA". It matches the Rfam family "Bacterial small subunit ribosomal RNA", at positions 524 to 776 of the family's 1533-position model. The record is from RNAcentral.